GAUGAACGCUAGCGGGAGGCUUAACACAUGCAAGUCGAGGGGCAACACGAGGUAGCAAUACUUUGGUGGCGACCGGCGCACGGGUGAGUAACGCGUAUGCAACCUGCCCUUUACCGGGGGAUAACCCGGAGAAAUUCGGACUAAUACUCCAUAAGGAUAUUGAGAGGCAUCUUUUGAUAUUUAAAGCCACGGUGGUAAAGGAUGGGCAUGCGUAACAUUAGCUAGUUGGGAGGGUAACGGCCUGCCAAGGCUAUGAUGUUUAGGGGGACCUGAGAGGGUGAACCCCCACACUGGUACUGAGACACGGACCAGACUCCUACGGGAGGCUG
This 329-nucleotide ribosomal RNA is filed under the name uncultured Bacteroidota bacterium. Its description in RNAcentral is "bacterial SSU rRNA". It matches the Rfam family "Bacterial small subunit ribosomal RNA", at positions 28 to 351 of the family's 1533-position model. Lineage: Bacteria; Pseudomonadati; Bacteroidota. The record is from RNAcentral.